This 20-nucleotide unclassified non-coding RNA is filed under the name Chlamydomonas reinhardtii. Its description in RNAcentral is "small RNA Cre_2513". The record is from RNAcentral. Lineage: Eukaryota; Viridiplantae; Chlorophyta; Chlorophyceae; Chlamydomonadales; Chlamydomonadaceae.
UCAGUACGCACAAAUGAUAA